Molecule: ribosomal RNA, 429 nt
Filed under: Gemmatimonadota bacterium
Lineage: Bacteria; Pseudomonadati; Gemmatimonadota
Description: Gemmatimonadetes bacterium partial 16S ribosomal RNA
Rfam family: Bacterial small subunit ribosomal RNA
Source: RNAcentral
UAGGGAAUCUUCGGCAAUGGACGAAAGUCUGACCGAGCAACGCCGCGUGAGUGAAGAAGGUUUUCGGAUCGUAAAACUCUGUUGUUAGAGAAGAACAAGGACGUUAGUAACUGAACGUCCCCUGACGGUAUCUAACCAGAAAGCCACGGCUAACUACGUGCCAGCAGCCGCGGUAAUACGUAGGUGGCAAGCGUUGUCCGGAUUUAUUGGGCGUAUAGCGAGCGCAGGCGGUUUCUUAAGUCUGAUGUGAAAGCCCCCGGCUCAACCGGGGAGGGUCAUUGGAAACUGGGAGACUUGAGUGCAGAAGAGGAGAGUGGAAUUCCAUGUGUAGCGGUGAAAUGCGUAGAUAUAUGGAGGAACACCAGUGGCGAAGGCGGCUCUCUGGUCUGUAACUGACGCUGAGGCUCGAAAGCGUGCGGAGCAAACAGG